UGCCCACUGAAAUUUGAAGGGCCGCAGUAUUUUGACUGUGCAAAGGUAGCAUAAUCAUUAGUCUUUUAAUUAAAGGCUGGAAUGAAUGGUUGGACGAGGUAAAUACUGUCUUAUUUUAAUUAUUUGAAUUUAGAUUUUAAGUAAAAAAACUUAAAUAAAAUUAAGGGACGAGAAGACCCUAUAGAGUUUAAUAUAUAUAAUUUUAAUUGAGUUAAUAAUAAAUUUUUGAUUAUUAUGAAGUAUAUUUAAUUGGGGUGAUUAGAAGAUAUAAAUAACUCUUCUUUAUUUUAAAUAAUAUUAUUAGUUUUAUGAUCCAUAUAUGAUGAUUAGAAGAUUAAAUUACCUUAGGGAUAACAGCAUAAUUCUUUUAGAGAGUUCAAAUCGAAAAAGGAGAUUGUGACCUCGAUGUUGGAUUAAGAAUAAUUAUGGGUGUAGGUGUUCAAUAAUUAAGUCUGUUCGACUUUUAAAUUCUUACA
RNAcentral lists this ribosomal RNA (476 nucleotides) under Heterochaetula tricolor. RNAcentral's name for it is "partial 16S ribosomal RNA". It matches the Rfam family "Bacterial large subunit ribosomal RNA", at positions 1860 to 2600 of the family's 2925-position model. The record is from RNAcentral. Lineage: Eukaryota; Metazoa; Arthropoda; Insecta; Mantodea; Mantidae.